CAGAUGAUUGGGGUGAAGUCGUAACAAGGUAGCCGUAUCGGAAGGUGCGGCUGGAUCACCUCCUUU
Molecule: ribosomal RNA, 66 nt
Filed under: Bacillus subtilis
Lineage: Bacteria; Bacillati; Bacillota; Bacilli; Caryophanales; Bacillaceae
Also listed under: 9 other names
Description: partial 16S ribosomal RNA
Rfam family: Bacterial small subunit ribosomal RNA
Source: RNAcentral